GGGCGCGUAGCUCAGCGGUAGAGCACUACCUUGACAUGGUAGGGGUCUCAGGUUCGAUCCCUGACGCGCCCACCA
RNAcentral lists this transfer RNA (75 nucleotides) under Pseudomonadota bacterium. RNAcentral describes it as "tRNA-Val". It matches the Rfam family "tRNA". Rfam says of the family: Transfer RNA (tRNA) molecules are approximately 80 nucleotides in length. Their secondary structure includes four short double-helical elements and three loops (D, anti-codon, and T loops). The record is from RNAcentral. Lineage: Bacteria; Pseudomonadati; Pseudomonadota.